Molecule: long non-coding RNA, 456 nt
Organism: Canis lupus familiaris (dog)
Lineage: Eukaryota; Metazoa; Chordata; Mammalia; Carnivora; Canidae
Exons: 2
Source: RefSeq, a predicted model, not a curated record
GGUGGGCAGGGCUCCCAGGGCUCGGCUCGGGCUUCCUUUGCGGACCGUUUCCUGGCGGCUCCGGCGAUGCGCCUUCCUGCCGACCCUCUGCCCCGCGGCUCCCGUGUCCUUUCGUGUCCUCGUGGUGGUUGCACAGAAACUGCAGAAGUGUUCUGGGUGGUCCCAUGCACCCCCCACCCCCGCCUCUGUGUUUGAUGUGGGACCCGCUGCUGCAGAGCCAGGGAUGCGCUCCUGCUUGUACCCUGUGGGCCGCACUCUUGCCUCUGUUCUUUGCCAUGGACCCCUCUCUUCCUGGGGGCGUUCGAGUUCUCAGAUUCCUUGGAGAGGCGCAUCCGUGUGUCAUUUGUCUUUGGAAGACAUUCACUGUGAUGAAUCUGUGGCUUUAUUCCAGAUGCAGUCCCAUCGUUCUACUGGAUGAUUUUGUUGUCAAACAAGAUAAAAUCUCCCCUAAAAACA